This 459-nucleotide ribosomal RNA is filed under the name uncultured bacterium. Its description in RNAcentral is "partial 16S ribosomal RNA". It matches the Rfam family "Bacterial small subunit ribosomal RNA", at positions 338 to 795 of the family's 1533-position model. The record is from RNAcentral.
CCUACGGGAGGCAGCAGUGAGGAAUAUUGGUCAAUGGGCGAGAGCCUGAACCAGCCAAGUCGCGUGAGGGAAGACGGUCCUAUGGAUUGUAAACCUCGUUUGUAGGGGAGAAAAAGACGCCACGCGUGGCGUUCCGCGCGUACCCGAAGAAAAAGCAUAGGCUAACUCCGUGCCAGCAGCCGCGGUAAUACGGAGGAUUCGGGCGUUAUCCGGAUUGAUUGGGUUUAAGGGGUGCGCGGGGGGAAGAUCAAGUCAGCUGUAAAAUUGAGGGGCUCAACCUCUUCGAGCCGUUGACACUGGUUUUCUUGAGUGCGUGAGAGGUAUGCGGAAUGCGUGGUGUAGCGGUGAAAUGCAUAGAUAUCACGCAGAACUCCGAUUGCGAAGGCAGCAUACCGGCGCUCAACUGACGUUCAUGCACGAAAGUGUGGGUAUCGAACAGGAUUAGAUACCCGAGUAGUC